AGGUCCCGCCUGCCCAGUGACUUACAUGUUUAACGGCCGCGGUAUUUUGACCGUGCGAAGGUAGCGCAAUCACUUGUCCUUUAAAUGAGGACCUGUAUGAAUGGCAUAACGAGGGCUUAGCUGUCUCCCUUUUCCAGUCAAUGAAAUUGAUCUCCCCGUGCAGAAGCGGGGAUAAUAGCAUAAGACGAGAAGACCCUGUGGAGCUUUAGACGAUUAAAUGGCUCACUUUGAACAGACUUGCACCACAGGCAAGCUGACCCCAGUGGCUAGACACCAUUUAGCGUCUUUGGUUGGGGCGACCGUGGGGAAAAGAAAAACCCCCAUGAGGACCGGGGUCCCACCCCCCCUAGCCGAGAGCCUACCACUCAAAGCAUCAGAAUUUCUGACCCUAAUGAUCCGGCCGGCAGGCCGAUCAACGGACCGAGUUACCCCAGGGAUAACAGCGCAAUCCCCUCUCAGAGCCCAUAUCGACGAGGGGGUUUACGACCUCGAUGUUGGAUCAGGACAUCCUAAUGGUGCAGCCGCUAUUAA
RNAcentral lists this ribosomal RNA (531 nucleotides) under Chlorophthalmus sp. NI51. RNAcentral describes it as "partial 16S ribosomal RNA". It matches the Rfam family "Bacterial large subunit ribosomal RNA", at positions 1850 to 2568 of the family's 2925-position model. The record is from RNAcentral. Lineage: Eukaryota; Metazoa; Chordata; Actinopteri; Aulopiformes; Chlorophthalmidae.